RNAcentral lists this ribosomal RNA (254 nucleotides) under uncultured bacterium. RNAcentral describes it as "partial 16S ribosomal RNA". It matches the Rfam family "Bacterial small subunit ribosomal RNA", at positions 524 to 776 of the family's 1533-position model. The record is from RNAcentral.
CACGUAGGGUGCGAGCGUUGUCCGGAAUUAUUGGGCGUAAAGAGCUCGUAGGCGGUGUGUCGCGUCGGCCGUGAAAACCUGCAGCUUAACUGUGGGCUUGCGGUCGAUACGGGCAUCACUGGAGUUCGGCAGGGGAGACUGGAAUUCCUGGUGUAGCGGUGAAAUGCGCAGAUAUCAGGAGGAACACCGGUGGCGAAGGCGGGUCUCUGGGCCGAUACUGACGCUGAGGAGCGAAGGCGUGGGGAGCGAACAGG